GGGGCUUGGCCUGGAGGUUGGCACAUGCCUGGUUUCCUUCGGGGAGAACAGUCCUUGUUUCGUCGUGGGAUUUGGCGUGGAAGGCCGAAGACUAUCGCGUGGUGAGUGCGUUGUGCCUAUCUGGUAGUUUUGGCUGCUUUGAUGACCUUUUUCUGACUGCGUAAUUCGCUUGCUCUGCAGUGUAUCCAAACGGUGCUUUGGUGCCUCGGUUGCCAGAGGGGUUGCGUUGCCCUGUGGGAAGCUGCCAGCUGACUCGUGGGGUGGCUAGCUUUGUGGCAGUGUCUCUGGAUGCUAGCAGCGGAAUGUGGCGCGUUUGUGUUCGGAGCUCACAAUGGAUAGUGGCCUUGUAGAACCAUCUCCAGCCUAACGAUCUGCGGCUACUUGGAGAUUCUGUCCCUCGACUUCCCACGGCGUCGGUGGCUGCUGUUUUGUUUCGGUCCGGCUCACGCUCGGGAUUCGUCAACCCGGCGGGCUCUCGCUACCUUUGAUAAGGGAACGCACAUCUGUGACUGUGUUUCUGAGUGCCUCUUGUCCAUGUUGUUUAUUUCUGUGGUCCAUGUGUAUAUCAAAUACUCGAAAGCACUGAUAAGUCCGUCUCCCAGAACGUGCCUUCUGCCAAUCUUAUUGUAACAUAGGGGAGCGUGAUUUGGAGUGUACUAUUUGUUCCCCUUUGUGGGUUGGGCUAUCGCAUGGUACUUGGUGGGGUCCAGUCUGCAUUGUCCCCCCACAUUUAGUAUUUACAUUUAAGCAUUGCCACAAUACGAGUGGCAGGAGUUUGUGCGCAUUACUUACUGUGAAUAAUUGUAUCACUGUCUCUUCUUCUCUCUCUCACCUCUCUCUCUUUCCUAUCGGACAGUAUUAACAUUUAAGCAUUGCCACAAUACUAGUGGCAGGAGUUUGUGCGCAUUACUUACUGUGAAUAAUUGUAUCACUGUCUCUUCUUCUCUCUCUC
This is a long non-coding RNA of Engraulis encrasicolus (European anchovy), 952 nucleotides long. RefSeq lists it as uncharacterized. The record is from RefSeq and is a predicted model, not a curated record. Lineage: Eukaryota; Metazoa; Chordata; Actinopteri; Clupeiformes; Engraulidae. The transcript has 3 exons.